RNAcentral lists this unclassified non-coding RNA (437 nucleotides) under Hevea brasiliensis (rubber tree). The record is from RNAcentral. Lineage: Eukaryota; Viridiplantae; Streptophyta; Magnoliopsida; Malpighiales; Euphorbiaceae.
UGCCAUGGUAGCUGUGAGACCCAAAAGCGUGAACUAAGAGAAGCCGCAAGUCCACACCAUUGGAGCGCAAAAAGCGGCAAUGACUCAAAUCAUUCGACAUCCCAUUCACACCAUAACCUUGCAUCACCAAGGAUCGAGGGUUUAGAUAUCACAUGCCUCUGGUCAGAAGACGACACCAACAGAAGCAACAGAUUAACCUUGCUCCUAGAACACCAAUCGGUCAUAAAACCUUAGUCUCUCAACUACACACAAAGAAAAGCAAACAACAGUACCCAAACAAGGCAAGUUUUCUAAAAAUCAAUCACCCUCUCAAUUUUCUUCUCGACCUGCAUGUAAAAACAACUAACACCAAAAUAAUAUAUACACCCUGCAAUAGGGAGGGUAAAAACCCAUAGCUAACUAGCAAGUGAGACCCUACCCUGCCCAAAAGGGGUAGG